UCUCCGUAGGUGAACCUGCGGAGGGAUCAUUACACAAAUAUGAAGGCGGGCUGGAACCUCUCGGGGUUACAGCCUUGCUGAAUUAUUCACCCUUGUCUUUUGCGUACUUCUUGUUUCCUUGGUGGGUUCGCCCACCACUAGGACAAACAUAAACCUUUUGUAAUUGCAAUCAGCGUCAGUAACAAAUUAAUAAUUACAACUUUCAACAACGGAUCUCUUGGUUCUGGCAUCGAUGAAGAACGCAGCGAAAUGCGAUAAGUAGUGUGAAUUGCAGAAUUCAGUGAAUCAUCGAAUCUUUGAACGCACAUUGCGCCCUUUGGUAUUCCAAAGGGCAUGCCUGUUCGAGCGUCAUUUGUACCCUCAAGCUUUGCUUGGUGUUGGGCGUCUUGUCUCUAGCUUUGCUGGAGACUCGCCUUAAAGUAAUUGGCAGCCGGCCUACUGGUUUCGGAGCGCAGCACAAGUCGCACUCUCUAUCAGCAAAGGUCUAGCAUCCAUUAAGCCUUUUUUUUCAACUUUUGACCUCGGAUCAGGUAGGGAUACCC
RNAcentral lists this ribosomal RNA (542 nucleotides) under Alternaria sp. RNAcentral describes it as "eukaryotic LSU rRNA". The stretch from base 198 to 351 matches the Rfam family "5.8S ribosomal RNA". Lineage: Eukaryota; Fungi; Ascomycota; Dothideomycetes; Pleosporales; Pleosporaceae. The record is from RNAcentral.